AUUGAACGCUGGCGGCAGGCCUAACACAUGCAAGUCGAGCGAGCGGCGGACGGGUGAGUAAUGCCUGGGAAACUGCCUGAUGGAGGGGGAUAACUACUGGAAACGGUAGCUAAUACCGCAUACCAUCAGAUGUGCCCAGAUGGGAUUAGCUAGUUGGUGGGGUAACGGCUCACCUAGGCGACGAUCCCUAGCCGGUCUGAGAGGAAGACCAGCCACACUGGAACUGAGACACGGUCCAGACUCCUACGGGAGGCAGCAGUGGGGAAUAUUACACAAUGGGCGAAAGCCUGAUGGAGCAAUGCCGCGUGUGUGAGGAAGGCCUUCGGGUUGUAAACCACUUUCAGCGGGGAAGCGUUACCCGCAGAAGAAGCACCGGCUAACUCCGUGCCAGCAGCCGCGGUAAUAC
RNAcentral lists this ribosomal RNA (406 nucleotides) under uncultured bacterium. RNAcentral's name for it is "partial 16S ribosomal RNA". It matches the Rfam family "Bacterial small subunit ribosomal RNA", at positions 30 to 526 of the family's 1533-position model. The record is from RNAcentral.